This is a long non-coding RNA of Cimex lectularius (bed bug), 407 nucleotides long. RefSeq lists it as uncharacterized. The record is from RefSeq and is a predicted model, not a curated record. NCBI's taxonomy places the organism in Eukaryota, Metazoa, Arthropoda, Insecta, Hemiptera, Cimicidae. The transcript is spliced from 2 exons.
CUUGGUUCUUUAUGUGUAUAAAAAGGCCGACCCGGCUUCCGAAUAUUGUCAGUUAUAUCCAGACGAUACAACUAGCACUUACUAAAAAUGUUCUCCGUGAAAUUCCUCUUUUUCUUCGCUUUGGCCGUCGCCUGCGUUUUCGCCGUUGAAAGCGAAAGGGUGAAGAAGGACGUCCUCGUAGGUGGCUACCCAUACGCAUACUCAGGACUUUACUCCGGAUACGGUGGUGCAUACGUCCCCACCGCAUACUCUGGCGUCUACGGCGGCUACCCUUAUGCUGCUGGGCUCUACAGGUCCUUCGUCUAUUAAAAACCCUCUCAUGUUCUUCUUCCCCUUUCUUUCUACACGACACCGAUUGGCUAUGUGAUUCUUCAAAGAUUCUUCAAUAAAUCUUUCUCCUAAAACAA